Molecule: ribosomal RNA, 685 nt
Filed under: Tridentiger kuroiwae
Lineage: Eukaryota; Metazoa; Chordata; Actinopteri; Gobiiformes; Gobiidae
Description: partial 12S rRNA
Rfam family: Bacterial small subunit ribosomal RNA
Source: RNAcentral
AGAGGCCCAAGUUGACAAAUACCGGCGUAAAAUGUGGUUUAUACAGUAUUGCACUAAAGCUAAACUUCUUCAAAGCUGUCAUACGCACUCGAAGAAAAGAGGACCUUCCGCGAAAGUGGCUUUAAAUAAUAUUAACCCACGAAAGCUAGGAAACAAACUGGGAUUAGAUACCCCACUAUGCCUAGCCCUAAACACAAGUGACUACUUACACCCCCCGCUUGCCAGGGAACUACGAGCCCCAGCUUAAAACCCAAAGGACUUGGCGGUGCUUUAGACCCACCUAGAGGAGCCUGUUCUAGAACCGAUAACCCCCGUUAAACCUCACCCUCCCUUGUCACUCCCGCCUAUAUACCGCCGUCGUCAGCUUACCCUGUGAGGGACUCAUAGUGAGCAUAAUUGGCAUAGCCUAAAACGCCAGGUCGAGGUGUAGCGUACGAGAGGGGAAGAAAUGGGCUACAUUCACUGCAUCAGUGAAAACGAAUAAUGCUUUGAAACAAGUAUUUAAAGGAGGAUUUAGCAGUAAGGAGGGAAUAGAGUGCCCUUCUGAAACUGGCCCUGAAGCGCGCACACACCGCCCGUCACUCUCCCCAAAAUAGUAGGCAAAUCUUAAAUAAACAGAAUCCUAGACAAAGGGGAGGCAAGUCGUAACAUGGUAAGUGUACCGGAAGGUGCACUUGGAAAAACC